RNAcentral lists this transfer RNA (57 nucleotides) under Calophya californica. Its description in RNAcentral is "tRNA-Ser". Lineage: Eukaryota; Metazoa; Arthropoda; Insecta; Hemiptera; Calophyidae. The record is from RNAcentral.
GGAGUCUUAGAGUAAGCUGCUAACUAACUCACAGCAAUACAUUUUGUUAGGCCCCCC